Molecule: ribosomal RNA, 465 nt
Filed under: uncultured bacterium
Lineage: Bacteria
Description: bacterial SSU rRNA
Rfam family: Bacterial small subunit ribosomal RNA
Source: RNAcentral
GGGCCCGCACAAGCGGUGGAGUAUGUGGUUCAAUUCGAUGCUACGCGAAAAACCUUACCCAGGCUUGACAUCCCCGGCUACCCUGGGAAACCAGGGGUUCUCUUCGGAGACCGGGUGACAGGUGCUGCAUGGCUGUCGUCAGCUCGUGUUGUGAGAUGUUGGGUUAAGUCCCGCAACGAGCGCAACCCUCGUCGUUAGUUGCCAGCAUUAAGUUGGGCACUCUAACGAGACCGCUAGGCUAUAAGCCAGAGGAAGGUGGGGAUGACGUCAAGUCCUCAUGGCCUUUAUGCCUGGGGCUACACACGUACUACAAUGGGAGUUACAAUGCGCAGCGACGUCGCGAGGCGGAGCAAAUCGCAAAAAACCUCCCCCAGUUCAGAUUGGAGUCUGCAACUCGACUCCAUGAAGUUGGAAUCGCUAGUAAUCGCGGAUCAGCAUGCCGCGGUGAAUACGUUCCCGGGCCUU